This 64-nucleotide transfer RNA is filed under the name Trifida elongata. RNAcentral's name for it is "tRNA-Trp". The record is from RNAcentral. Lineage: Eukaryota; Metazoa; Arthropoda; Insecta; Hemiptera; Cicadellidae.
AAGACUUUAAGUUAAAGAAACUAUUAGCCUUCAAAGUUGAAAAUAUAAAAGAUUGUAAGUCUUA